ACCUCAAAGAAACUUGAACGGGGGCCUGCACAAGCGGUGGAGCAUGUGGUUUAAUUCGAAGCUACGCGCAGAACCUUACCAGCGUUUGACAUCCUCAUCGCGGAUUCCAGAGAUGGUUUCCUUCAGUUCGGCUGGAUGAGUGACAGGUGCUGCAUGGCUGUCGUCAGCUCGUGUCGUGAGAUGUUGGGUUAAGUCCCGCAAUCGAGCGCAACCCUCGUCUUUAGUUGCCAUCAUUUAGUUGGGCACUCUAAAGAAACCGCCGGUGAUAAGCCGGAGGAAGGUGGGGAUGCACGUCAAGUCCUCAUGGCCCUUACACGCUGGGCUACACACGUGCUACAAUGGCGGUGACAGUGGGCAGCGAACUCGCGAGGGGGAGCUAAUCGCAGUAAAGCCGGUCUCAGUUCGUGAUUGUAGGCUGCAACUCGCCUGCAUGAAGUCGGUAAUCGUCUA
RNAcentral lists this ribosomal RNA (450 nucleotides) under uncultured bacterium. RNAcentral describes it as "bacterial SSU rRNA". It matches the Rfam family "Bacterial small subunit ribosomal RNA", at positions 898 to 1337 of the family's 1533-position model. The record is from RNAcentral.